This 390-nucleotide ribosomal RNA is filed under the name uncultured eukaryote. RNAcentral's name for it is "SSU rRNA". It matches the Rfam family "Eukaryotic small subunit ribosomal RNA", at positions 587 to 972 of the family's 1831-position model. The record is from RNAcentral.
AGCUCCAAUAGCGUAUAUUAAAAUUGUUGCAGUUAAAAAGCUCGUAGUUGGAUUUCUGGUUCGGCGCACUUGGCCCGCCUCGGUUUACGGGGUUGUGUGCCGGUGUGCGCCAUCCAUCCUUCGAGAGAACGCUUCUACCCUUCACUGGGUCGGGAGUGCUAUCUCGAUCUUUUACUUUGAAAAAAUUAGAGUGUUUAAAGCAGGCUUGCGCUAUGAAUACAUUAGCAUGGAAUAAUAAUUUAGGACUUUGGUCUUAUUUUGUUGGUUUCUAGGACUAAAGUAAUGAUUGAUAGGGACAGUUGGGGGUGCUAGUAUUCAGCGGCCAGAGGUGAAAUUCUUGGAUUCGCUGAAGACUAACUUAUGCGAAAGCAUUCACCAAGGAUGUCUUCU